GACGUAGGGCGCGAGCGUUGUCCGGAUUUAUUGGGCGUAAAGAGCUCGUAGGCGGCUUGUCGCGUCGUCCGUGAAAACCCACAGCUCAACUGUGGGCUUGCGGUCGAUACGGGCAGGCUAGAGUUCGGUAGGGGAGACUGGAAUUCCUGGUGUAGCGGUGAAAUGCGCAGAUAUCAGGAGGAACACCGGUGGCGAAGGCGGGUCUCUGGGCCGAUACUGACGCUGAGGCACGAAAGCCAGGGGAGCGAACGGG
Molecule: ribosomal RNA, 253 nt
Filed under: uncultured bacterium
Lineage: Bacteria
Description: partial 16S ribosomal RNA
Rfam family: Bacterial small subunit ribosomal RNA
Source: RNAcentral